This 472-nucleotide ribosomal RNA is filed under the name uncultured bacterium. RNAcentral describes it as "SSU rRNA". It matches the Rfam family "Bacterial small subunit ribosomal RNA", at positions 26 to 518 of the family's 1533-position model. The record is from RNAcentral.
AGGACGAACGCUGGCGGCGUGCUUAACACAUGCAAGUCGAGCGGAAAGGCCCUUCGGGGUACUCGAGCGGCGAACGGGUGAGUAACACGUGAGCAACCUGCCCUUAGCUCUGUGAUAGCUCCGGGAAACCGGAAUUAAUACCGGAUACGACCUAGGCCGACAUCGGCCAUGGUGGAAAGUUUUUCGGCUAGGGAUGGACUCGCGGCCUAUCAGCUAGUUGGUGGGGUAAAGGCCUACCAAGGCGACGACGGGUAGCCGGCCUGAGAGGGCGACCGGGCCACACUGGGACUGAGACACGGCCCAGACUCCUACGGGAGGCAGCAGUGGGGAAUCUUGCGCAAUGGGCGAAAGCCUGACGCAGCGACGCCGCGUGGGGAUGAAGGCCUUCGGGUUGUAACCCCUUUCAGCAGGGACGAAGCGAAGUGACGGUACUGCAGAAGAAGCGCCGGCUAACUACGUGCCAGCGAGCCGC